AGCAACUAAGCGCACAGCCGAGCAAUCCUGCAAAGGACUCGACUCUUAGCUGUUAACCGAAGGGUUGUAGGUUCGAAUCCUACCUGAGGAGCACCA
This 96-nucleotide transfer RNA is filed under the name Terriglobia bacterium. RNAcentral's name for it is "tRNA-OTHER". Lineage: Bacteria; Pseudomonadati; Acidobacteriota; Terriglobia. The record is from RNAcentral.